Condylostylus longicornis is the source of this 100-nucleotide small nuclear RNA. NCBI's taxonomy places the organism in Eukaryota, Metazoa, Arthropoda, Insecta, Diptera, Dolichopodidae. The record is from RefSeq and is a predicted model, not a curated record.
GUGUCGUUUUGAAAGGAGAGCAGUUUAGCACUCCCCUUGACAAGGAUGGACACAUAAAUGGUCAGAUGAGGCACAGACAAAUAUCUGGCCUAAUUUUUUU